Molecule: unclassified non-coding RNA, 331 nt
Filed under: soil metagenome
Description: partial contains 5.8S ribosomal RNA, internal transcribed spacer 2, and large subunit ribosomal RNA
Rfam family: 5.8S ribosomal RNA (bases 1-120)
Source: RNAcentral
GAUGAAGAACGCAGCGAAAUGCGAUAAGUAAUGUGAAUUGCAGAAUUCAGUGAAUCAUCGAAUCUUUGAACGCACAUUGCGCCCCCUGGUAUUCCGGGGGGCAUGCCUGUUCGAGCGUCAUUUCACCACUCAAGCCUCGCUUGGCAUUGGGCAUCGCGGUCCGCCGCGCGCCUCAAAUCGACCGGCUGGGUCUUCUGUCCCCUAAGCGUUGUGGAAACUAUUCGCUAAAGGGUGUUCGGGAGGCUACGCCGUAAAACAACCCCAUUUCUAAGGUUGACCUCGGAUCAGGUAGGGAUACCCGCUGAACUUAAGCAUAUCAAUAAGCGGAGGA